Molecule: ribosomal RNA, 732 nt
Filed under: uncultured bacterium
Lineage: Bacteria
Description: bacterial SSU rRNA
Rfam family: Bacterial small subunit ribosomal RNA
Source: RNAcentral
CGGCGGCAGGCCUAACACAUGCAAGUCGAGCGGUAGAGAGAAGCUUGCUUCUCUUGAGAGCGGCGGACGGGUGAGUAAUGCCUAGGAAUCUGCCUGGUAGUGGGGGAUAACGUUCGGAAACGGACGCUAAUACCGCAUACGUCCUACGGGAGAAAGCAGGGGACCUUCGGGCCUUGCGCUAUCAGAUGAGCCUAGGUCGGAUUAGCUAGUUGGUGAGGUAAUGGCUCACCAAGGCUACGAUCCGUAACUGGUCUGAGAGGAUGAUCAGUCACACUGGAACUGAGACACGGUCCAGACUCCUACGGGAGGCAGCAGUGGGGAAUAUUGGACAAUGGGCGAAAGCCUGAUCCAGCCAUGCCGCGUGUGUGAAGAAGGUCUUCGGAUUGUAAAGCACUUUAAGUUGGGAGGAAGGGCAGUAAGCGAAUACCUUGCUGUUUUGACGUUACCGACAGAAUAAGCACCGGCUAACUCUGUGCCAGCAGCCGCGGUAAUACAGAGGGUGCAAGCGUUAAUCGGAAUUACUGGGCGUAAAGCGCGCGUAGGUGGUUCGUUAAGUUGGAUGUGAAAUCCCCGGGCUCAACCUGGGAACUGCAUCCAAAACUGGCGAGCUAGAGUAGGGCAGAGGGUGGUGGAAUUUCCUGUGUAGCGGUGAAAUGCGUAGAUAUAGGAAGGACCACCAGUGGCGAAGGCGACCCCUGGGCUCAUACUGACCCUGAGGGCGAAAGCGUGGGG